Molecule: transfer RNA, 80 nt
Filed under: Armillaria borealis
Lineage: Eukaryota; Fungi; Basidiomycota; Agaricomycetes; Agaricales; Physalacriaceae
Description: tRNA-Glu
Rfam family: tRNA
About the family: Transfer RNA (tRNA) molecules are approximately 80 nucleotides in length. Their secondary structure includes four short double-helical elements and three loops (D, anti-codon, and T loops). Further hydrogen bonds mediate the characteristic L-shaped molecular structure. tRNAs have two regions of fundamental functional importance: the anti-codon, which is responsible for specific mRNA codon recognition, and the 3' end, to which the tRNAs corresponding amino acid is attached (by aminoacyl-tRNA synthetases). tRNAs cope with the degeneracy of the genetic code in two manners: having more than one tRNA (with a specific anti-codon) for a particular amino acid; and 'wobble' base-pairing, i.e. permitting non-standard base-pairing at the 3rd anti-codon position.
Source: RNAcentral
UCGGAUAUGGUGUAACGGCUAACAUUGCCGCCUCUCAUAUUAAUUCGCGGCAGCUCGGGGUUCGAUUCCCCGUAUCCGAA